AUUGAACGCUGGCGGCAUGCUUUACACAUGCAAGUCGAACGGUAACAGGGUGCUUGCACCGCUGACGAGUGGCGAACGGGUGAGUAAUGCGUCGGAACGCACCGAGUAAUGGGGGAUAACGCAGCGAAAGCUGUGCUAAUACCGCAUACGCUCUGAGGAGGAAAGCGGGGGACCUUCGGGCCUCGCGUUAUUCGAGCGGCCGACGUCUGAUUAGCUAGUAGGUGAGGUAAGAGCUCACCGAGGCGACGAUCAGUAGCCGGUCUGAGAGGAUGAUCCGCCAGACUGGGACUGAGACACGGCCCAGACUCCUGCGGGAGGCAGCAGUGGGAAAUUUUGGACAAUGGGCGCAAGCGUGAUCCAGCCAUGCCGCGUGUCUGAAGAAGGCCUUCGGGUUGUAAAGGUCUUUUGUCAGGGAGGAAAUCCUUAGCGCUAAUACCGUUGAGGGAUGACAGUACCUGAAGAAUAAGCACCGGCUAACUACGUGCCAGCAGCCGCCGUAA
RNAcentral lists this ribosomal RNA (500 nucleotides) under uncultured bacterium. Its description in RNAcentral is "partial 16S ribosomal RNA". It matches the Rfam family "Bacterial small subunit ribosomal RNA", at positions 30 to 523 of the family's 1533-position model. The record is from RNAcentral.